RNAcentral lists this ribosomal RNA (445 nucleotides) under uncultured bacterium. RNAcentral describes it as "SSU rRNA". It matches the Rfam family "Bacterial small subunit ribosomal RNA", at positions 26 to 518 of the family's 1533-position model. The record is from RNAcentral.
AGAACGAACGCUGGCGGCAGGCUUAACACAUGCAAGUCGAGCGCUGUAGCAAUACAGAGCGGCGCACGGGUGAGUAACACGUGGGAACAUGCCUUUUGGUUCGGAACAACACAGGGAAACUUGUGCUAAUACCGGAUAAGCCCUUACGGGGAAAGAUUUAUCGCCGAAAGAUUGGCCCGCGUCUGAUUAGCUAGUUGGUGAGGUAAUGGCUCACCAAGGCGACGAUCAGUAGCUGGUCUGAGAGGAUGAUCAGCCACAUUGGGACUGAGACACGGCCCAAACUCCUACGGGAGGCAGCAGUGGGGAAUAUUGGACAAUGGGCGCAAGCCUGAUCCAGCCAUGCCGCGUGAGUGAUGAAGGCCCUAGGGUUGUAAAGCUCUUUUGUGCGGGAAGAUAAUGACGGUACCGCAAGAAUAAGCCCGGCUAACUUCGUGCCAGCAGCCGC